GUAGGCAUAGUUUAAUCAAAACAUUAGAUUGUGAUUCUGAAAAUAAAGGUUUAAGCCCUGUUGUCCACC
This 69-nucleotide transfer RNA is filed under the name Uranoscopus bicinctus. RNAcentral describes it as "tRNA-His". It matches the Rfam family "tRNA". Rfam says of the family: Transfer RNA (tRNA) molecules are approximately 80 nucleotides in length. Their secondary structure includes four short double-helical elements and three loops (D, anti-codon, and T loops). The record is from RNAcentral. Lineage: Eukaryota; Metazoa; Chordata; Actinopteri; Uranoscopiformes; Uranoscopidae.